UACGUAGGGGGCAAGCGUUGUCCGGAUUUAUUGGGCGUAAAGCGCACGUAGGCGGUUUGUUAUGUCGGAUGUGAAAGCCCUUGGCUCAACUGAGGAAGUGCAUCCGAAACUGGCAAGCUAGAGUAUGUAAGAGGGUCGCGGAAUUCCCGGUGUAGAGGUGAAAUUCGUAGAUAUCGGGAGGAACACCGGUGGCGAAGGCGGCGACCUGGGACAAUACUGACGCUGAGGUGCGAAAGCGUGGGGAGCAAACAGG
This 253-nucleotide ribosomal RNA is filed under the name uncultured bacterium. Its description in RNAcentral is "partial 16S ribosomal RNA". It matches the Rfam family "Bacterial small subunit ribosomal RNA", at positions 524 to 776 of the family's 1533-position model. The record is from RNAcentral.